AUUUAUUUAGUAUAUAAGUACAUUUGACUUCCAAUCAAAAAGAUUGAUCUAUUCAAAAUAAAUA
This 64-nucleotide transfer RNA is filed under the name Gampsocleis sedakovii. Its description in RNAcentral is "tRNA-Gly". It matches the Rfam family "tRNA". From Rfam's summary of the family: Transfer RNA (tRNA) molecules are approximately 80 nucleotides in length. Their secondary structure includes four short double-helical elements and three loops (D, anti-codon, and T loops). Further hydrogen bonds mediate the characteristic L-shaped molecular structure. tRNAs have two regions of fundamental functional importance: the anti-codon, which is responsible for specific mRNA codon recognition, and the 3' end, to which the tRNAs corresponding amino acid is attached (by aminoacyl-tRNA synthetases). tRNAs cope with the degeneracy of the genetic code in two manners: having more than one tRNA (with a specific anti-codon) for a particular amino acid; and 'wobble' base-pairing, i.e. permitting non-standard base-pairing at the 3rd anti-codon position. Lineage: Eukaryota; Metazoa; Arthropoda; Insecta; Orthoptera; Tettigoniidae. The record is from RNAcentral. RNAcentral also lists the same sequence under 1 other name.